CCACAUUCGGUUUGUUCUCCACUGUAUAUCAACCCGUGAUGAUAAAAAGAGAGUAGACCUAUCUAUUUUUUAUUUCAAAUUCUCCUCCUCUUUCUACUUGUUCGAUUUGCCAUUCGAGAUGGAGAGGAAAAGAAAUAUAAAGAAAAAAGAAGGCGGGCUUGAAGUCGCCUCUUCAAUUUGACAAUAUUCUUCAUUUCAACAACCACCUGGCCACUUGU
Caenorhabditis elegans is the source of this 218-nucleotide small nucleolar RNA. Lineage: Eukaryota; Metazoa; Nematoda; Chromadorea; Rhabditida; Rhabditidae. The record is from Ensembl.